CCCUUAGAUGUCCUGGGCCGCACGCGCGCUACACUGAUGCAUGCAACGAGUUUAUAACCUUGGCCUGAAAGGUCUGGGUAAUCUUUUGAACGUGCAUCGUGAUAGGGAUAGAUUAUUGCAAUUGUUAAUCUUGAACGAGGAAUUCCUAGUAAACGCGAGUCAUCAGCUCGCAUUGAUUACGUCCCUGCCCUUUGUACACACCGCCCGUCGCACCUACCGAUUGAAUGGUUCGGUGAAGAUCUCGGACUUCGAUAUUUAUUCUUUAUUGAGUUUAUAUUGUGGGAAGGUAUCUAAACCUCAUCAUUUAGAGGAAGGUGAAGUCGUAACA
RNAcentral lists this ribosomal RNA (328 nucleotides) under uncultured eukaryote. RNAcentral describes it as "partial 18S ribosomal RNA". It matches the Rfam family "Eukaryotic small subunit ribosomal RNA", at positions 1470 to 1796 of the family's 1831-position model. The record is from RNAcentral.